This 253-nucleotide ribosomal RNA is filed under the name uncultured bacterium. RNAcentral's name for it is "partial 16S ribosomal RNA". It matches the Rfam family "Bacterial small subunit ribosomal RNA", at positions 524 to 776 of the family's 1533-position model. The record is from RNAcentral.
UACGUAGGGUGCAAGCGUUAAUCGGAAUUACUGGGCGUAAAGCGUGCGCAGGCGGCUUUGCAAGCCAGAUGUGAAAUCCCCGGGCUUAACCUGGGAACUGCAUUUGUGACUGCAUGGCUCGAGUGCGGCAGAGGGGGAUGGAAUUCCGCGUGUAGCAGUGAAAUGCGUAGAUAUGCGGAGGAACACCGAUGGCGAAGGCAAUCCCCUGGGCCUGCACUGACGCUCAUGCACGAAAGCGUGGGGAGCAAACAGG